Molecule: transfer RNA, 72 nt
Filed under: Camelus bactrianus (Bactrian camel)
Lineage: Eukaryota; Metazoa; Chordata; Mammalia; Artiodactyla; Camelidae
Also listed under: 1 other name
Rfam family: tRNA
About the family: Transfer RNA (tRNA) molecules are approximately 80 nucleotides in length.
Source: Rfam by way of RNAcentral
GAAGGUAUAGCUCAGUGGUAGAGUGCAUGCCUAGCAUGCCUGAGGUCUUGCGUUCAAUCCCCAGUAUCCGCA